RNAcentral lists this long non-coding RNA (587 nucleotides) under Homo sapiens (human). RNAcentral's name for it is "long non-coding RNA NONHSAT139208.2". Lineage: Eukaryota; Metazoa; Chordata; Mammalia; Primates; Hominidae. The record is from RNAcentral.
CAGUGCGCGGGUGGGUGGGUCCUAGCAGCGCGGCCUGACGGGACCAAGGCGGCGGGAGUCUGCGGUCGUUCCCUCGGCUGUGGACCGGGCGGCACGCACGCGGUGCAGGGUAACAUGGCGGAUGCGGAAGUAAUUAUUUUGCCAAAGAAACAUAAGAAGAAAAAGGAGCGGAAGUCAUUGCCAGAAGAAGAUGUAGCCGUGAGUAGUAAUGUGUUUGACUUCACUUUGACUAAAAAGAAAGUUUACUUAAAUAACAAACUAAAGGAAAGAAGUGUUUUUAAAGGUUUCCAAGGAAUGGGCCAGCAUUGGUAGUCAUUGUGUAGAUUCGAAAAAGCACUGAAAUGACACAGCCCCAGACAGUCCAAGUGUCCUUCAGGCAUAGCUUACUAAAUGGUGCUGGCCUUACCAACUGCUGUCUCUGAAUUUGUCUUCCUUAUGCCACCCACAGACCCGCCAUCCCCCUUUCUCUUUAAAUGUUUGGACCCAUCUUAGUGACAUUUCACUUCCCCUCUGUACUCCUGGUUCAUUUCUUCUCUCUCUUUCCCUUGGAGGUCCCAGUGAAAAGGCAUAGGAAGCCUUGUUUUCUG